CUACGGGUGGCAGCAGUGGGGAAUUUUGGACAAUGGGCGCAAGCCUGAUCCAGCCAUGCCGCGUGCAGGAUGAAGGCCUUCGGGUUGUAAACUGCUUUUGUACGGAACGAAAAGACUCCUUCUAAUAAAGGGGGUCCAUGACGGUACCGUAAGAAUAAGCACCGGCUAACUACGUGCCAGCAGCCGCGGUAAUACGUAGGGUGCGAGCGUUAAUCGGAAUUACUGGGCGUAAAGCGUGCGCAGGCGGUGAUGUAAGACAGAUGUGAAAUCCCCGGGCUCAACCUGGGAACUGCAUUUGUGACUGCAUCGCUGGAGUGCGGCAGAGGGGGAUGGAAUUCCGCGUGUAGCAGUGAAAUGCGUAGAUAUGCGGAGGAACACCGAUGGCGAAGGCAAUCCCCUGGGCCUGCACUGACGCUCAUGCACGAAAGCGUGGGGAGCAAACAGGAUUAGAUACCCUUGUAGUC
Molecule: ribosomal RNA, 464 nt
Filed under: uncultured bacterium
Lineage: Bacteria
Description: partial 16S ribosomal RNA
Rfam family: Bacterial small subunit ribosomal RNA
Source: RNAcentral